GUCACCAUUUGCUUCAGUGGUAGAAUGCUCGCCUGCCACGCGGGCGCUCCAGGUUCGAUUCCCGGCCGAUGCA
Molecule: transfer RNA, 73 nt
Filed under: Cordylochernes scorpioides
Lineage: Eukaryota; Metazoa; Arthropoda; Arachnida; Pseudoscorpiones; Chernetidae
Description: tRNA-Gly
Source: RNAcentral